RNAcentral lists this ribosomal RNA (478 nucleotides) under uncultured bacterium. RNAcentral describes it as "partial 16S ribosomal RNA". It matches the Rfam family "Bacterial small subunit ribosomal RNA", at positions 28 to 507 of the family's 1533-position model. The record is from RNAcentral.
GAUGAACGCUGGCGGCGUGCUUAACACAUGCAAGUCGAACGAGAAGUGAAGACGGAAACCUUCGGGCGGAAGGCUUUAUUUCGAGUGGCGGACGGGUGAGUAACGCGUGGGUAACCUGCCUCAUACAGGGGGAUAACAGUUGGAAACGACUGUUAAUACCGCAUAAGACCACAGCACCGCAUGGUGCGGGGGUAAAAACUCCGGUGGUAUGAGAUGGACCCGCGUUCGAUUAGCCAGUUGGCGGGGUAACGGCCCACCACAGCGACGAUCGAUAGCCGAUCUGAGAGGAUGACCGGCCACAUUGGGACUGAGACACGGCCCAAACUCCUACGGGAGGCAGCAGUGGGGAAUAUUGCACAAUGGGGGAAACCCUGAUGCAGCGACGCCGCGUGAGUGAAGAAGUAUUUCGGUAUGUAAAGCUCUAUCAGCAGGGAAGAAAAUGACGGUACCUGAGGAAGAAGCCCCGGCUAACUACGUG